GAUGAAGAACGUAGCGAAAUGCGAUACUUGGUGUGAAUUGCAGAAUCCCGUGAACCAUCGAGUCUUUGAACGCAAGUUGCGCCCGAAGCCACUAGGCCGAGGGCACGCCUGCCUGGGCGUCACACGCCGUUGCCCCCCCAUCUACUCCUUCGGGAUUGCGGGGGGGCGGAUGAUGGCCUCCCGUGCUCCUAGCCGCGCGGUUGGCAUAAAUACCAAGUCCUCGGCGACGCACGCCACGACAAUCGGUGGUUGCGAAACCUCGGUUGCCCGUCGUGUGCGUUCGUCGCGCAUCGAGGGCUCGAAAAAAUGCUCGGCUCCGGCUGGGCUUUCAACGCGACCCCAGGUCAGGCGGGGUUACCCGCUGAAUUUAAGCAUAUCAAUAAGCGGAGGA
Molecule: unclassified non-coding RNA, 391 nt
Filed under: soil metagenome
Description: partial contains 5.8S ribosomal RNA, internal transcribed spacer 2, and large subunit ribosomal RNA
Rfam family: 5.8S ribosomal RNA (bases 1-122)
Source: RNAcentral